RNAcentral lists this ribosomal RNA (437 nucleotides) under uncultured bacterium. RNAcentral's name for it is "bacterial SSU rRNA". It matches the Rfam family "Bacterial small subunit ribosomal RNA", at positions 954 to 1392 of the family's 1533-position model. The record is from RNAcentral.
GCACAACGCGAAGAACCUUACCCACCUUUGACAUGUACGGAAGUUGCCAGAGAUGGCUUCGUGCUCGAAAGAGAGCCGUAACACAGGUGCUGCAUGGCUGUCGUCAGCUCGUGUCGUGAGAUGUUGGGUUAAGUCCCGCAACGAGCGCAACCCUUGCCAUUAGUUGCUACAUUCAGUUGAGCACUCUAAUGGGACUGCCGGUGACAAACCGGAGGAAGUGGGGAUGACGUCAAGUCCUCAUGGCCCUUAUAGGUGGGGCUACACACGUCAUACAAUGGCUGGUACAAAGGGUUGCCAACCCGCGAGGGGGAGCUAAUCCCAUAAAGCCAGUCGUAGUCCGGAUCGCAGUCUGCAACUCGACUGCGUGAAGUCGGAAUCGCUAGUAAUCGUGGAUCAGAAUGUCACGGUGAAUACGUUCCCGGGUCUUGUACACACCG